GGUGGAGCUUGGUCCCCGCUGACGAGCGGCGGAUGGGUGAGUAAUGCUUAGGAAACUGCCCAGUAGUGGGGGAUAGCCCGGGGAAACCCGGAUUAAUACCGCGUACGCCCUUCGGGGGAAAGCAGGGGCUCUUCGGACCUUGCGCUAUUGGAUGUGCCUAAGUCGGAUUAGCUAGUUGGUGGGGUAAAGGCCUACCAAGGCGACGAUCCGUAGCUGGUCUGAGAGGAUGAUCAGCCACAUCGGGACUGAGACACGGCCCGAACUCCUACGGGAGGCAGCAGUGGGGAAUAUUGGACAAUGGGGGCAACCCUGAUCCAGCCAUGCCGCGUGUGUGAAGAAGGCUUUCGGGUUGUAAAGCACUUUCAGUGAGGAGGAAGGCUGUAAGGUUAAUACCCUUGCAGAUUGACGUUACUCACAGAAGAAGCACCGGCUAACUGCGUGCCAGCAGCCGCGGUAAUACGGAGGGUGCAAGCGUUAAUCGGAAUUACUGGGCGUAAAGCGCGCGUAGGUGGUUUGAUAAGCGAGAUGUGAAAGCCCCGGGCUU
Molecule: ribosomal RNA, 544 nt
Filed under: Marinobacter sp.
Lineage: Bacteria; Pseudomonadati; Pseudomonadota; Gammaproteobacteria; Pseudomonadales; Marinobacteraceae
Description: bacterial SSU rRNA
Rfam family: Bacterial small subunit ribosomal RNA
Source: RNAcentral